AGUCUUAUAUUCAAUAAUGAUAUUAAAUUGCAAGUUUAAAGGGAAAGUUUAUUUAACUUUUAAGGCUU
This 68-nucleotide transfer RNA is filed under the name Longitarsus parvulus. RNAcentral's name for it is "tRNA-Cys". Lineage: Eukaryota; Metazoa; Arthropoda; Insecta; Coleoptera; Chrysomelidae. The record is from RNAcentral.